UCUCCCUCCCCUUAUCUUUAUCCAACAUCUUUCUCUCUCUUUAUUUCUCCCGAUCCACUCUCUCCUCCUUAUCUCUUCACUGCCUCUCUCUCUUCCCCCUUCCCCCGCAGCCUUCUUGAUUCAGUUGCAGCAAAUCUGCACUCUCUCCCUUUCCUCAGCAAAUCUGCACUCUCAGCCACUGUCGUUGUUGUGUUUCCGCCAUAGCCGCCGCUGCUCUGUUUCCGCUGCUGCUCAGCCGUUGCUGCUCGUCUUCAC
RNAcentral lists this long non-coding RNA (255 nucleotides) under Citrus maxima (pomelo). RNAcentral describes it as "long non-coding RNA (CMAX_LNC000690)". The record is from RNAcentral. Lineage: Eukaryota; Viridiplantae; Streptophyta; Magnoliopsida; Sapindales; Rutaceae.